Molecule: ribosomal RNA, 465 nt
Filed under: Vreelandella stevensii
Lineage: Bacteria; Pseudomonadati; Pseudomonadota; Gammaproteobacteria; Oceanospirillales; Halomonadaceae
Description: partial 16S ribosomal RNA
Rfam family: Bacterial small subunit ribosomal RNA
Source: RNAcentral
CCUGCGGGGGGCUGCAGUGGGGAAUAUUGGACAAUGGGCGAAAGCCUGAUCCAGCCAUGCCGCGUGUGUGAAGAAGGCCUUCGGGUUGUAAAGCACUUUCAGUGGGGAAGAAAGCCUUGGGGCUAAUACCCUCGAGGAAGGACAUCACCCACAGAAGAAGCACCGGCUAACUCCGUGCCAGCAGCCGCGGUAAUACGGAGGGUGCGAGCGUUAAUCGGAAUUACUGGGCGUAAAGCGCGCGUAGGCGGUCUGAUAAGCCGGUUGUGAAAGCCCCGGGCUCAACCUGGGAACGGCAUCCGGAACUGUCAGGCUAGAGUGCAGGAGAGGAAGGUAGAAUUCCCGGUGUAGCGGUGAAAUGCGUAGAGAUCGGGAGGAAUACCAGUGGCGAAGGCGGCCUUCUGGACUGACACUGACGCUGAGGUGCGAAAGCGUGGGUAGCAAACAGGAUUAGAUACCCCGGUAGUC